Molecule: transfer RNA, 72 nt
Filed under: Pseudomonadota bacterium
Lineage: Bacteria; Pseudomonadati; Pseudomonadota
Also listed under: 2 other names
Description: tRNA-Met
Rfam family: tRNA
About the family: Transfer RNA (tRNA) molecules are approximately 80 nucleotides in length. Their secondary structure includes four short double-helical elements and three loops (D, anti-codon, and T loops). Further hydrogen bonds mediate the characteristic L-shaped molecular structure. tRNAs have two regions of fundamental functional importance: the anti-codon, which is responsible for specific mRNA codon recognition, and the 3' end, to which the tRNAs corresponding amino acid is attached (by aminoacyl-tRNA synthetases). tRNAs cope with the degeneracy of the genetic code in two manners: having more than one tRNA (with a specific anti-codon) for a particular amino acid; and 'wobble' base-pairing, i.e. permitting non-standard base-pairing at the 3rd anti-codon position.
Source: RNAcentral
GGCGACGUAGCUCAGAGGUAGAGCAGGGGUCUCAUAAGCCCUGUGUCGUGGGUUCGAAUCCCACCGUCGCCA